This 29-nucleotide non-coding RNA is filed under the name Rattus norvegicus (Norway rat). The record is from RNAcentral. Lineage: Eukaryota; Metazoa; Chordata; Mammalia; Rodentia; Muridae.
UGGAGACAUUGCUUCUCUUUGGGACCCCU